UAGCUUUUACUCUGUCAGAAUUUUUGUUUUUGUUUUGGCUAUCCGAUUUUUGCGCAGCAGCCAACAGUUCCUUUGAAGAUCUCAAGCAUAAAUUUUGCUUGAGAAAGAAAUCAACCGCCUGAGCCGGCUUCUGAUGAACUCACACACCCCGGCGAAGCUAUUCAAUCACGUCUGCCGGGAAUAAGUCAGUGAGCGCAAGAAACUGCAACCAUCGUGUGCCGCCUGCAAAGACUGCAAUUGAUACAUGAAGGAUGUUGCUGCAGUUUUUCUCAUGUGACGGCUGCCGGUUCGUCCGCAAAGAUCUUACCGGUGGGUAGUAGUCAACAAUCAAACGGUGACCGUACCCUCCCAGAACAAGUCAAAUUCCACUGAAUGAUAACGUCGAACUUAGUUCCUGUAGGGUCUAUAUGUAACAGCACCAGGAUUAUCGUAAGAAUGAAAUUAAACCGGCAGCAUCUUCAUUAACAACCAACCAGCAUUAGCAUCAUCAGCAACAAAAGGAAAUUGAAUUGAAUCCUCCUCGUCUGUGUGUUAUAUGUUAAUUCAAGAUGCCACUGGUGACCGGAUUGGCACUAGUGAAUGAGAAGCUAUAGGACUAGGGAAGUGCAUCGUAGCUAACGCAGGCAUUGGAAACAAGAUUGAAAUUUAAAGAAAUAAACGUCGUUACGAAACUUAA
This is a long non-coding RNA of Aedes aegypti (yellow fever mosquito), 676 nucleotides long. RefSeq lists it as uncharacterized. The transcript has 2 exons. Lineage: Eukaryota; Metazoa; Arthropoda; Insecta; Diptera; Culicidae. The record is from RefSeq and is a predicted model, not a curated record.